RNAcentral lists this ribosomal RNA (567 nucleotides) under uncultured bacterium. Its description in RNAcentral is "partial 16S ribosomal RNA". It matches the Rfam family "Bacterial small subunit ribosomal RNA", at positions 355 to 912 of the family's 1533-position model. The record is from RNAcentral.
UGGGGAAUCUUCCGCAAUGGACGAAAGUCUGACGGAGCAACGCCGCGUGUAUGAUGAAGGUCUUCGGAUUGUAAAGUACUGUCAUUGGGGAAGAACGGUUUUCUUGAAAAGAUUGAGAAGACAUGACGGUACCCAAGGAGGAAGCCCCGGCUAACUACGUGCCAGCAGCCGCGGUAAUACGUAGGGGGCAAGCGUUGUCCGGAAUUAUUGGGCGUAAAGGGCGCGUAGGCGGGCCUUUAAGUCCGGUGUGAAAGAUCAGGGCUCAACCCUGAGAGUGCAUCGGAAACUGGAGGCCUUGAGGACAGGAGAGGAAAGUGGAAUUCCACGUGUAGCGGUGAAAUGCGUAGAUAUGUGGAGGAACACCAGUGGCGAAGGCGACUUUCUGGACUGUAACUGACGCUGAGGCGCGAAAGCGUGGGGAGCAAACAGGAUUAGAUACCCUGGUAGUCCACGCCGUAAACGAUGAGUGCUAGGUGUAGAGGGUAUCGACCCCUUCUGUGCCGCAGUUAACACAAUAAGCACUCCGCCUGGGGAGUACGGCCGCAAGGUUGAAACUUAAAUGAAUUG